RNAcentral lists this ribosomal RNA (1530 nucleotides) under Klebsiella aerogenes. RNAcentral's name for it is "bacterial SSU rRNA". It matches the Rfam family "Bacterial small subunit ribosomal RNA". The record is from RNAcentral. Lineage: Bacteria; Pseudomonadati; Pseudomonadota; Gammaproteobacteria; Enterobacterales; Enterobacteriaceae.
AGAGUUUGAUCAUGGCUCAGAUUGAACGCUGGCGGCAGGCCUAACACAUGCAAGUCGAGCGGUAGCACAGAGAGCUUGCUCUCGGGUGACGAGCGGCGGACGGGUGAGUAAUGUCUGGGAAACUGCCUGAUGGAGGGGGAUAACUACUGGAAACGGUAGCUAAUACCGCAUAACGUCGCAAGACCAAAGUGGGGGACCUUCGGGCCUCAUGCCAUCAGAUGUGCCCAGAUGGGAUUAGCUAGUAGGUGGGGUAAUGGCUCACCUAGGCGACGAUCCCUAGCUGGUCUGAGAGGAUGACCAGCCACACUGGAACUGAGACACGGUCCAGACUCCUACGGGAGGCAGCAGUGGGGAAUAUUGCACAAUGGGCGCAAGCCUGAUGCAGCCAUGCCGCGUGUAUGAAGAAGGCCUUCGGGUUGUAAAGUACUUUCAGCGAGGAGGAAGGCGUUAAGGUUAAUAACCUUGGCGAUUGACGUUACUCGCAGAAGAAGCACCGGCUAACUCCGUCCAGCAGCCGCGGUAAUACGGAGGGUGCAAGCGUUAAUCGGAAUUACUGGGCGUAAAGCGCACGCAGGCGGUCUGUCAAGUCGGAUGUGAAAUCCCCGGGCUCAACCUGGGAACUGCAUUCGAAACUGGCAGGCUAGAGUCUUGUAGAGGGGGGUAGAAUUCCAGGUGUAGCGGUGAAAUGCGUAGAGAUCUGGAGGAAUACCGGUGGCGAAGGCGGCCCCCUGGACAAAGACUGACGCUCAGGUGCGAAAGCGUGGGGAGCAAACAGGAUUAGAUACCCUGGUAGUCCACGCCGUAAACGAUGUCGACUUGGAGGUUGUGCCCUUGAGGCGUGGCUUCCGGAGCUAACGCGUUAAGUCGACCGCCUGGGGAGUACGGCCGCAAGGUUAAAACUCAAAUGAAUUGACGGGGGCCCGCACAAGCGGUGGAGCAUGUGGUUUAAUUCGAUGCAACGCGAAGAACCUUACCUACUCUUGACAUCCAGAGAACUUAGCAGAGAUGCUUUGGUGCCUUCGGGAACUCUGAGACAGGUGCUGCAUGGCUGUCGUCAGCUCGUGUUGUGAAAUGUUGGGUUAAGUCCCGCAACGAGCGCAACCCUUAUCCUUUGUUGCCAGCGGUUCGGCCGGGAACUCAAAGGAGACUGCCAGUGAUAAACUGGAGGAAGGUGGGGAUGACGUCAAGUCAUCAUGGCCCUUACGAGUAGGGCUACACACGUGCUACAAUGGCAUAUACAAAGAGAAGCGACCUCGCGAGAGCAAGCGGACCUCAUAAAGUAUGUCGUAGUCCGGAUUGGAGUCUGCAACUCGACUCCAUGAAGUCGGAAUCGCUAGUAAUCGUAGAUCAGAAUGCUACGGUGAAUACGUUCCCGGGCCUUGUACACACCGCCCGUCACACCAUGGGAGUGGGUUGCAAAAGAAGUAGGUAGCUUAACCUUCGGGAGGGCGCUUACCACUUUGUGAUUCAUGACUGGGGUGAAGUCGUAACAAGGUAACCGUAGGGGAACCUGCGGUUGGAUCACCUCCU